RNAcentral lists this ribosomal RNA (492 nucleotides) under Triticum aestivum (bread wheat). Its description in RNAcentral is "partial small subunit ribosomal RNA". The record is from RNAcentral. Lineage: Eukaryota; Viridiplantae; Streptophyta; Magnoliopsida; Poales; Poaceae.
CAACAUGUUAAAGCUACAGACCCCAUUGAUGUGUUAAACAUCAAACUGAAACGCUUCAAAAAGUUCUUCAAAGGCUGGGGUUCUAAUAAGUUUGGGCAUGAGAAGAUUCGAAAGAGAAACAUCAGAGAUGAGUUGGCAAAAAUUGAGAAAGAAGAAGAGGGGGGUAUGUUAGAUCCAGCUAUGUUCUGCAGGAAAACUGAACUGUUAGUGGAACUAAAUGAAAUAUUGGUAAAUGAAGAACUUUUCUUACUACAACAAUCUAAAGAGAAAUGGCUACUUAAAGAGGAUAGUAAAUCUGCCUACUAUCAGAAAAUAGCUAAUGGCAAUAAAAGGAAAAAUACUAUUCACUCCCUAAAUGUAGGGGAUACAGUCAUAGAGGGGACGAAGGAUCUUUUAAAUCAUGCUACUGAAUUUUAUAGAGAUCUUUUCGGGCCGGCACCUGGAAAUUUGCUCCAGGUGGAUCCUAAUAUAUGGGGGCUGGAGGAGAAGUUA